CCUACACGACCGUACCGCAAACCGACACUGGUGCGCGAGAUGAGUAUUCUAAGGCGCUUGAGAGAACUCAGGAGAAGGAACUCGGCAAAUUGACACCGUAACUUCGGAAGAAGGUGUGCCUUUAGUAGGUGAAGUCCCUCGCGGAUGGAGCCCAAUGAGGUUGCAAAAAAUCGGUGGCUGCGACUGUUUAUUAAAAACACAGCACUCUGCAAACACGAAAGUGGACGUAUAGGGUGUGACGCCUGCCCGGUGCUGGAAGAUUAAAUGAUGGGGUGCAAGCUCUUGAUUGAAGUCCCAGUAAACGGCGGCCGUAACAAUAACGGUCCUAAGGUAGCGAAAUUCCUUGUCGGGUAAGUUCCGACCUGCACGAAUGGCGUAACGAUGGCCACACUGUCUCCUCCUGAGACUCAGCGAAGUUGAAAUGUUUGUGAUGAUGCAAUCUCCCCGCGGAAAGACGGAAAGACCCCAUGAACCUUUACUGUAGCUUUGUAUUGGACUUUGAACAGAUCUGUGUAGGAUAGGUGGGAGGCUUUGAAGCAGGGUCGCUAGAUCUUGUGGAGCCAACGUUGAAAUACCACCCUGGUGUGUUUGAGGUUCUAACCUAGGCCCGUAAUCCGGGUUGGGGACAGUGCAUGGUAGGCAGUUUGACUGGGGCGGUCUCCUCCCAAAGUGUAACGGAGGAGUUCGAAGGUACGCUAGUUACGGUCGGACAUCGUGACGAUAGUGCAAUGGCAUAAGCGUGCUUAACUGCGAGACUGACAAGUCGAGCAGAUGCGAAAGCAGGACAUAGUGAUCCGGUGGUUCUGUAUGGAAGGGCCAUCGCUCAACGGAUAAAAGGUACUCUGGGGAUAACAGGCUGAUACCGCCCAAGAGUUCAUAUCGACGGCGGUGUUUGGCACCUCGAUGUCGGCUCAUCUCAUCCUGGGGCUGUAGCCGGUCCCAAGGGUAUGGCUGUUCGCCAUUUAAAGAGGUACGUGAGCUGGGUUUAAAACGUCGUGAGACAGUUUGGUCCCUAUCUUCCGUGGGCGCUGCAGAUUUGAGGAAGCCUGCUCCUAGUACGAGAGGACCGGAGUGGACGCACCUCUGGUGUAUCGGUUGUCACGCCAGUGGCAUUGCCGAGUAGCUAUGUGCGGAAGAGAUAACCGCUGAAAGCAUCUAAGCGGGAAACUCGUUUCAAGAUGAGAUCUGCCGGGGCCUUGAGCCCCCUGAAGAGUCGUUCAAGACCAGGACGUUGAUAGGUCGGGUGUGGAAGCGCAGUAAUGCGUUAAGCUAACCGAUACUAAUUGCUCGUGCGGCUUGAUC
RNAcentral lists this ribosomal RNA (1302 nucleotides) under metagenome. RNAcentral describes it as "bacterial LSU rRNA". It matches the Rfam family "Bacterial large subunit ribosomal RNA", at positions 1633 to 2925 of the family's 2925-position model. The record is from RNAcentral.